AAAUUAUAUAGUCUAUUAUAAGGAUUUUAAAUUGCAAAUUUAAAGGUGUAUUACUAAUACUAUAAUU
Molecule: transfer RNA, 67 nt
Filed under: Sitophilus oryzae (rice weevil)
Lineage: Eukaryota; Metazoa; Arthropoda; Insecta; Coleoptera; Curculionidae
Description: tRNA-Cys
Source: RNAcentral